GAGAGAUGUAGAGCACGCUGGGGUCCUCAUAGAAGGUUUGCUGAGUUCCAUUGCCAUGAUGAACAUCCUGUUUUUGCACACCUGGAGGAAGAUAAGGGAGAAACACCUGGUGGGCUAAGAAUGUUAGACUGUCAGGAAACCAGUGCUUUAUCACCAGUGAUUGAUCAAUCCUGGGUAAGUUACUAUAUCCUUCUUGGGCAUCAAUUUGGUUGUCUAUAUUUAUCUCCUUUCCUUUCCUUUUUUUUUUUUAAAUUUUCCAGUGCUAGAGUGAAGCUAUAAUGAGAUCCCAGGAAAGAGAGUUUAAGCUCUAAGGAGAGAGAUAUGAAAGACACAUGAAAUAGGCUUUAGAGGAAUAACUGUCUUCUUAAUGCUGGUGAAAAUUCACUGCUACUACUGUUAUAUACUGCUAUAACAGUGGUUGUUAUACCACCAUAAUAAGUAGGACUUGGGGUGGUGGUGGUACUCUCAUGAGGAGUGGGGGAGAGUAAGUGAAUCACAAAAAAACCUAGAGAAGUAGAUACAUUCAGAUACAUACAUAUGAGCCCAGAAAAACAACCUCACACUGGGCUAAGGUUAUGUUAGUUACAAAUGCUUUGCAAAUGAGCUAAAAGCUCCUUCCUAAAAGAGAAACAAGAACUUAAUAGACAACACCAAUUAGGGAAUGGGAGUGGGGUCAGUUUUGACAUAGGAGGAGAUGAAAGCCUAUUUCUAUCUCUGGGAAGGAGACAGGCUCCAGGAAGGAUGGUGAUCCUAGUCAAGCCUGCAUGACCACUGGAGAAACUAGACCCAGAUGCCUAGUGGAUGGAAGUAGGGGGGAAAUAACUUAAGUUUCACCCAAGGGUAGAGAUCUUUCAGGUGGGGUGGAAGCAAAAGAUAGGAAGAUUCUCAUAAACCCUGGCGGCCAGUCUAUGGUUACACCAGUUAACCUUGGAUCCAUGAUUUUUUAAAAAGUUGAUAAUUGUAUUUCAAUAUAAUUGGUUUUCUUUGCACUCUUUGGUAUUUUAUUUUAUUAAUUUAAAAAUAUUGUUCUGAGAAGGGGUCCAUGACACAAAAAAGCAUAAGAACUCUUUGGUUUAGACUACAGAUAUCACAUGAUAAGGAUUCUAUGUUUUGUAAAUCAUUUCUAAACUUAAAAAAUAGUUUUUUGUUUUCCCUGUAAAUUUAUAAAGAAGGUUUCUGCUAAUAAAAUUCUACCUUUUUUCAGCUAAGUAAAGGGGCUGGAUGGAAUAAAGAGAUUGGUGUACUCUUAAAGACCAGCUGUAGGGAUGCAGUAACAGUGGCCAAGGGAAGAAUGAACACGGAAAAAGAUGAACCCUGUACCUUCAUGUCCUAACCUGCCUAACACAGGAUGGAUCUGAAAGUGGGAAGGAUCGGGGAAGUGAUGGAUGGGGCACAGGCCAAGACUCCUGCUGUCUAGCAGAGAACAUCAUCAAUGAAGUCCUCUGGUCCUUGGUAUUUAUUCCAGCCAUCUCCAGCACAGCAUCUC
Molecule: non-coding RNA, 1486 nt
Organism: Phascolarctos cinereus (koala)
Lineage: Eukaryota; Metazoa; Chordata; Mammalia; Diprotodontia; Phascolarctidae
Source: RefSeq, a predicted model, not a curated record